AUGCCAUCUUGUUGACACCUACUGGCAAACUGAGACUGGUUCUCACGUUAUCACCCCUUUGGGCGGCAUUACACCAACAAAGCCCGGCAGUGCUUCGCUUCCCUUCUUCGGCAUUGAGCCUGCCAUCAUUGACCCGGUAUCUGGAGAGGAGAUCAAAGGCAAUGACGUUGAAGGCGUUCUAGCGAUUAAACAACCAUGGCCAAGCAUGGCGCGCACAGUCUGGGGUGCCCACAAG
RNAcentral lists this small RNA (235 nucleotides) under Histoplasma capsulatum. RNAcentral's name for it is "hypothetical RNA". RNAcentral also lists the same sequence under 1 other name. Lineage: Eukaryota; Fungi; Ascomycota; Eurotiomycetes; Onygenales; Ajellomycetaceae. The record is from RNAcentral.